AACCUUUAGCAUAAACAAAUAUUAAAGGCAACGCCUGCCCAGUGAACAAUUAAACGGCCGCGGUACCCUAACCGUGCAAAGGUAGCGUAAUCAUUUGUCUAUUAAUUGUAGACCAGUAUGAAAGGCAAAAUGAGGGCCUCACUGUCUCUUAUAGUAAAUCAAUUAAACUGAUCUCCUAGUAAAAAAGCUAGAAUACACUCAUAAGACCAGAAGACCCUGUGAAGCUUAAACUAAACUAUUAAACCACAUAAUAACUACUUUUGGUUGGGGCGACCUUGGAAAACAAAAGAACUUCCAAAAUUAUUACCCAUUGGGGGAAUAUGCCAGGCCAACAAGCCUAUUAAACGACCCAGCACAGCUGACAAUUGAACCAAGUUACUCCAGGGAUAACAGCGCCAUCUUCUUCAAGAGUCCAUAUUAAAAAGAAGGUUUACGACCUCGAUGUUGGAUCAGGACAUCCUAAUGGUGCAGCAGCUAUUAAGGGUUCGUUUGUUCAACGAUUAAUAGUCCU
Molecule: ribosomal RNA, 511 nt
Filed under: Rhadinaea vermiculaticeps
Lineage: Eukaryota; Metazoa; Chordata; Lepidosauria; Squamata; Dipsadidae
Description: partial 16S ribosomal RNA
Rfam family: Bacterial large subunit ribosomal RNA
Source: RNAcentral